Molecule: ribosomal RNA, 239 nt
Filed under: uncultured bacterium
Lineage: Bacteria
Description: partial 16S ribosomal RNA
Rfam family: Bacterial small subunit ribosomal RNA
Source: RNAcentral
AGCGGCGGACGGGUGAGUAACGCGUGGGUAACCUGCCUCAUACAGGGGGAUAACAGUUAGAAAUGACUGCUAAUACCGCAUAAGACCACAGCACCGCAUGGUGCGGGGGUAAAAACUCCGGUGGUAUGAGAUGGACCCGCGUCUGAUUAGCUAGUGGUAAGGUAACGGCUUACCAAGGCGACGAUCAGUAGCCGACCUGAGAGGGUGACCGGCCACAUUGGGACUGAGACACGGCCCAA